Molecule: ribosomal RNA, 502 nt
Filed under: uncultured bacterium
Lineage: Bacteria
Description: bacterial SSU rRNA
Rfam family: Bacterial small subunit ribosomal RNA
Source: RNAcentral
AACUAACGCUGGCGGCGUGCCUAACACAUGCAAGUCGUACGAGAAAGUUGGCUUCGGCCGAUGAGUAAAGUGGCGCACGGGUGAGUAAUGCGUGGAUAAUCUGCCCUUUAGUUGGGAAUAACGUACCGAAAGGUGCGCUAAUACCUGAUAAUACUGCAUAACUACUGUUGUGUAGUCAAAGAAGGCCUCUGUUUACAAGCUUUUGCUGAAGGAUGAGUCCGCGUACCAUUAGCUGGUUGGUGGGGUAAUGGCCUACCAAGGCUACGAUGGUUAGCUGGUCUGAGAGGAUGAUCAGCCACACUGGAACUGAGACACGGUCCAGACUCCUACGGGAGGCAGCAGUGAGGAAUCUUGCGCAAUGGGGGAAACCCUGACGCAGCAACGCCGCGUGAGUGAGGAAGGCCUUCGGGUCGUAAAGCUCUGUCAGUGGGGACGAAGGAAGUGACGGUACCCCAAGAGGAAGCCCCUGCUAACUACGUGCCAGCAGCCGCGGUAAACUACG